RNAcentral lists this ribosomal RNA (492 nucleotides) under uncultured bacterium. RNAcentral describes it as "partial 16S ribosomal RNA". It matches the Rfam family "Bacterial small subunit ribosomal RNA", at positions 29 to 507 of the family's 1533-position model. The record is from RNAcentral.
AGUGAACGCUGGCGGUAGGCCUAACACAUGCAAGUCGAACGGCAGCACAGUAAGAGCUUGCUCUUACGGGUGGCGAGUGGCGGACGGGUGAGGAAUACAUCGGAAUCUACUUUUUCGUGGGGGAUAACGUAGGGAAACUUACGCUAAUACCGCAUACGACCUACGGGUGAAAGCAGGGGAUCUUCGGACCUUGCGCGAUUGAAUGAGCCGAUGUCGGAUUAGCUAGUUGGCGGGGUAAAGGCCCACCAAGGCGACGAUCCGUAGCUGGUCUGAGAGGAUGAUCAGCCACACUGGAACUGAGACACGGUCCAGACUCCUACGGGAGGCAGCAGUGGGGAAUACUGGACAAUGGGCGCAAGCCUGAUCCAGCCAUACCGCGUGGGUGAAGAAGGCCUUCGGGUGGUAAAGCCCUUUUGUUGGGAAAGAAAAGCAGCAGGUUAAUACCCCGCUGUUCUGACGGUACCCAAAGAAUAAGCACCGGCUAACUUCGUG